Non-coding RNA from Ailuropoda melanoleuca (giant panda), 129 nucleotides. The record is from Rfam. Lineage: Eukaryota; Metazoa; Chordata; Mammalia; Carnivora; Ursidae.
AUUAGAAUCAAAGAUGCAGCUGCUUUCACAUAGCAACAGGAGUCAAAAAAGAGCCGAAAGUGACAGUUUUCCUGUUCGACCACUGUUCCGUUCUGUAACUGAUUUAUGACAUUUUGGGAAAACACAGCU